CACCAGAUGACUGAAAACAAGUAAUGGUCUCUUAAACCAAAAUAUAGUAAAUUUGUACUUACUUCUGGCGA
RNAcentral lists this transfer RNA (71 nucleotides) under Callibia diana. RNAcentral describes it as "tRNA-Lys". Lineage: Eukaryota; Metazoa; Arthropoda; Insecta; Mantodea; Acanthopidae. The record is from RNAcentral.